This 253-nucleotide ribosomal RNA is filed under the name uncultured bacterium. RNAcentral describes it as "partial 16S ribosomal RNA". It matches the Rfam family "Bacterial small subunit ribosomal RNA", at positions 524 to 776 of the family's 1533-position model. The record is from RNAcentral.
UACGUAGGGGCCUAGCGUUGUCCGGAUUUAUUGGGCGUAAAGAGCGUGUAGGCGGUUUGGUAGGUCCGCUGUGAAAACUCGAGGCUCAACCUCGAGACGCCGGUGGAAACCAUCAGACUAGAGUCCGGAAGAGGAGAGUGGAAUUCCUGGUGUAGCGGUGAAAUGCGCAGAUAUCAGGAAGAACACCUAUGGCGAAGGCAGCUCUCUGGGACGGUACUGACGCUGAGACGCGAAAGCGUGGGGAGCGAACAGG